RNAcentral lists this ribosomal RNA (253 nucleotides) under uncultured bacterium. Its description in RNAcentral is "partial 16S ribosomal RNA". It matches the Rfam family "Bacterial small subunit ribosomal RNA", at positions 524 to 776 of the family's 1533-position model. The record is from RNAcentral.
GACGAACCACACGAACGUUAUUCGGAAUUACUGGGCUUAAAGGGUGCGUAGGCGGCGCGGUAAGUCGGGUGUGAAAUCUCGGGGCUUAACUCCGAAACUGCAUUCGAUACUGCCGUGCUUGAGGACUGGAGAGGAGACUGGAAUUUACGGUGUAGCGGUGAAAUGCGUAGAUAUCGUAAGGAAGACCAGUGGCGAAGGCGGGUCUCUGGACAGUUCCUGACACUGAGACACGAAGGCCAGGGGAGCAAACGGG